RNAcentral lists this ribosomal RNA (343 nucleotides) under Staphylococcus aureus. Its description in RNAcentral is "partial 23S ribosomal RNA". It matches the Rfam family "Bacterial large subunit ribosomal RNA", at positions 1103 to 1451 of the family's 2925-position model. The record is from RNAcentral. Lineage: Bacteria; Bacillati; Bacillota; Bacilli; Caryophanales; Staphylococcaceae.
GGCUUAGAAGCAGCCAUCAUUUAAAGAGUGCGUAAUAGCUCACUAGUCGAGUGACACUGCGCCGAAAAUGUACCGGGGCUAAACAUAUUACCGAAGCUGUGGAUUGUCCUUUGGACAAUGGUAGGAGAGCGUUCUAAGGGCGUUGAAGCAUGAUCGUAAGGACAUGUGGAGCGCUUAGAAGUGAGAAUGCCGGUGUGAGUAGCGAAAGACGGGUGAGAAUCCCGUCCACCGAUUGACUAAGGUUUCCAGAGGAAGGCUCGUCCGCUCUGGGUUAGUCGGGUCCUAAGCUGAGGCCGACAGGCGUAGGCGAUGGAUAACAGGUUGAUAUUCCUGUACCACCUAU